Molecule: ribosomal RNA, 1112 nt
Filed under: Ethiolimnia sp. EGC-2011
Lineage: Eukaryota; Metazoa; Arthropoda; Insecta; Diptera; Sciomyzidae
Description: eukaryotic LSU rRNA
Rfam family: Eukaryotic large subunit ribosomal RNA
Source: RNAcentral
AUUAAUGAGGGGAGGAAAAGAAACUAACAAGGAUUUUCUUAGUAGCGGCGAGCGAAAAGAAAACAGUUCAGCACUAAGUCACUUUACCUUUAUGGCAAAUGUGAGAUGCAGUGUAUGGAACGUCUAUAAUCUAGUAUGAGAAAUUAACGAUUUAAGUCCCUCUCAAAAGAGGCCAUUUACCCAUAGAGGGUGCCAGGCCCGUAUAACGUUAAUGAUUAUUAGAAGAUGUUUCCAAAGAGUCGUGUUGCUUGAUAGUGCAGCACUAAGUGGGUGGUAAACUCCAUCUAAAACUAAAUAUAACCAUGAGACCGAUAGUAAACAAGUACCGUGAGGGAAAGUUGAAAAGAACUCUGAAUAGAGAGUUAAAUAGUACGUGAAACUGCUUAGAGGUUAAGCCCGAUGAACCUGAAUAUUCAUUAUGGAAAAUUCAACAUAUGCCUAUAGUAUCAAAAAAUAUUGUAGUAAUAUUGUGCAUUUUUUCCAUAUAAGAACAUUGUAAUCUAUUAACAUAAUAUAUAUUUAUCAUAAGAUUAUUGGCAUAAGUUUAUUCAAAUUAAAUUGCUUGCAAUUUAACAUCGAAUAAAUGCUAAUGAUUUGAUAAAGUGUUGAUAGAUUUAUUAAAUUAGUGCUUAAAUUCUAUUAUAGAAUUUUAUAAUUGCAUGAUUUUCUAAUGAUUUUUAUGUAAAUUAUAUGCACUUAAUUGAUUAACAAUGCGAUAGAUUCAGGAUACCUUCGGGACCCGUCUUGAAACACGGACCAAGGAGUCUAACAUAUGUGCAAGUCAUUGGGAUAAUAUAAUUAAACCCAAAGGCAUAAUUAACUUAACUGAUUUUUAUAUGGGAUUAGUUUUUAGUCUAUUUUAUAGUCUAUUAAUUCAAUCCCGGGGCGUUCUAUAUAGUUAUGUAUAAUAAUAUUUAUAUUAUUUAUACCUCUAACUGGAGCGUACCUUGAGCAAAUAUGCUGUGACCCGAAAGAUGGUGAACUAUACUUGAUCAGGUUGAAGUCAGGGGAAACCCUGAUGGAAGACCGAAACAGUUCUGACGUGCAAAUCGAUUGUCAGAAUUGAGUAUAGCGGCGAAAGACCGAUCGAACCAUCUAGUAGCUGUUCCCUC